GUCUGUUUUUUUCAUACUAUAAGCAAUGGUCAACUUUGGUAUAUGGAAUGAUUGUAUAUGGCUGUCUGGUUUUCCUAGUUAAAUUUGUUUCUUAGAUACUAUAUGCAAUAAAUCAAAAGCAUGUAAUGAUUGUAAGGAGUACAUAUCUGUCUGACAGGGUUCAUCUGACCCUGGCAUUAUUUUCAUGGUUCGUUGAUCAAUCUUAA
Molecule: long non-coding RNA, 206 nt
Filed under: Mytilus galloprovincialis (Mediterranean mussel)
Lineage: Eukaryota; Metazoa; Mollusca; Bivalvia; Mytilida; Mytilidae
Source: RNAcentral